This 465-nucleotide ribosomal RNA is filed under the name uncultured bacterium. RNAcentral's name for it is "bacterial SSU rRNA". It matches the Rfam family "Bacterial small subunit ribosomal RNA", at positions 338 to 795 of the family's 1533-position model. The record is from RNAcentral.
CCUACGGGUCGCACCAGUGGGGAAUAUUGCACAAUGGGCGCAAGCCUGAUGCAGCCAUGCCGCGUGUGUGAAGAAGGCCUUCGGGUUGUAAAGCACUCUCAGCGGGGAGGAAGGCGAUAAGGUUAAUAACCUUGUCGAUUGACGUUACCCGCAGAAGAAGCACCGGCUAACUCCGUGCCAGCAGCCGCGGUAAUACGGAGGGUGCAAGCGUUAAUCGGAAUUACUGGGCGUAAAGCGCACGCAGGCGGUCUGUCAAGUCGGAUGUGAAAUCCCCGGGCUCAACCUGGGAACCGCAUUCGAAACUGGCAGGCUAGAGCCUUGUAGAGGGGGGUAGAAUUCCAGGUGUAGCGGUGAAAUGCGUAGAGAUCUGGAGGAAUACCGGUGGCGAAGGCGGCCCCCUGGACAAAGACUGACGCUCAGGUGCGAAAGCGUGGGGAGCAGACAGGAUUAGAUACCCGGGUAGUC